GAUGAACGCUGACAGAAUGCUUAACACAUGCAAGUCAUUGGCGAAGCUGCGCUUGCGCAGUCUAGCCAAGGCGGACGGGUGAGUAACGCGUAAGGAACUUGCCCUGCAGACAGGGAUAACAGACGGAAACGACUGAUAACACCUGGUAUUGUCAGCCUGGCGCAUGCCGGCCUGAUGAAAGGAGACGCUGCAGGAGAGCCUUGCGUCCUAUUAGCUAGUUGGUGGGGUAACGGCACACCAAGGCGAUGAUAGGUAGCCGGCCUGAGAGGGUGAACGGCCACAAGGGGAGUGAGAUACGGCCCUUACUCCUACGGGAGGCAGCAGUGGAGAAUAUUGGACAGUGGGGGCAACCCUGAUCCAGCAGUUCUGUGUGCACGAAGAAGGUUUUCGGAGUGUAAAGUGCUUUCAGGAGGGAAGAAGAAAGUGACGGUACCUGCAGAAGAAGCGACGGCUAAAUACGUG
This 462-nucleotide ribosomal RNA is filed under the name uncultured bacterium. RNAcentral describes it as "partial 16S ribosomal RNA". It matches the Rfam family "Bacterial small subunit ribosomal RNA", at positions 28 to 507 of the family's 1533-position model. The record is from RNAcentral.